Molecule: transfer RNA, 70 nt
Organism: Trametes pubescens
Lineage: Eukaryota; Fungi; Basidiomycota; Agaricomycetes; Polyporales; Polyporaceae
Rfam family: tRNA
About the family: Transfer RNA (tRNA) molecules are approximately 80 nucleotides in length. Their secondary structure includes four short double-helical elements and three loops (D, anti-codon, and T loops). Further hydrogen bonds mediate the characteristic L-shaped molecular structure. tRNAs have two regions of fundamental functional importance: the anti-codon, which is responsible for specific mRNA codon recognition, and the 3' end, to which the tRNAs corresponding amino acid is attached (by aminoacyl-tRNA synthetases). tRNAs cope with the degeneracy of the genetic code in two manners: having more than one tRNA (with a specific anti-codon) for a particular amino acid; and 'wobble' base-pairing, i.e. permitting non-standard base-pairing at the 3rd anti-codon position.
Source: Rfam
AGCCAUAUACUUUAAAGGUAGAAUGAUUUCUUGAUAAGGAAUCUGUAGAAGUUCGAUUCUUCUUGGGCUA